UCUAUCCUCCGGGUGAGUGUACAAGAGAUGUGUACCCACAUGCGGACUUGAAAUCAGUGGCCAUCAUGUGACAGGACCUCAGAGAGCAUUGGGGGCCACAGGGGUUGAUGGGUGAGGGGGCAGGCCAGCAUAACAGGGCAUCCCAGAGCCCACAAGGUGAGUAUGCAAGAGAGUGGGCAUGGGUAGGCCAGGGACAAGAGACGGCUCGCCAGGGGCUGGUGGGAAGGUGAGCAAGGGGUGUAUAACCACGUAUAACCAAGAUGUUCCAGCGUGCAACAGCGUGGGUGUGGUUGCAACAGAACUGUAAGGACACACUAGAGCUCCUAGGUGAGUGUGUAAGUGGCAGGCAUGGAGCUCAACCGUGCGAGGGCACAGCGAGGCUGCUGCACGUAUGAGGGGUGUACGGGCCAAAUCUGCAAGAGGUGGGCAGGGGAGACCGGGGGACGUGCAAGGGUACAGCAGGGCCUUUGAAAAUGUGUGCAAAAGGGUGGGCACGGGCUUGCAUGAGCGGAGCAGGACCCCCACCCCCACCCCCCGCACCUGUAGGCUCCGGGCGUGCGAGGAGCAUGCGCCGAAGCCCGGGGAGGCCAGCAUGCACGGGCGCAGGCGUGCCCACCUGAGGCAUCUCCCACUGGGUGCGGUUGGUCUCCGAGAUCUCGAAGUAGAUCCGCUCGAUGCGGCGCGAGGCGCCCAUGAUCUCGAUGCGGCCCAGGUAGGGCCGGAAGUACUCCAGGAUGCUCUCCGCCAGCUCGAGGAAGUUGCGCAGGCGCGGGUCGUGGGGCACGUGCUCGGACAGGUUGGUUAGCAGCACCGCCACGUUGAAGCCGAUGUCGCGGGCCGGCUCCUGGAAGCGGUUGGCGAACUCCUCACAGUUGAUCAUCUCGUUCUCAUCCGCCUCAGAGCAGGAAAGCAGGAACUGGAUUUCGGGGCCUGUGAACUGCUUCUGGCUGUCCAUCGCCUGGGGGCGGGGGAUCAGCGGGCCCUUUUGUGCUGCCUCCGCCCCUUUCUAGCAACUACGUGAUUGACGCUGACACAGUGGAGGGCUCCGAUUUUCAAGUGGAAACAGUCAUGUGCCCAUCACCCCGAAUUAACAAUUGCUCAUUCUCACGUGUUCCUCAAAUACCACAUAUUAGGAACUAAAACAUUACAGGGAUGAGACUACUGUCAUUCUGCAAUCUCGACAGCACUGCUCUCUCUGGGUGGCGAACAUCAGGAGCUGCUGACCUCGCCGAAGGACAGACCCCAGGAGAGGACGUGCCUCCUGAGAGGGUGCCCCGCAGAGGGUGUGCUGGCAAAGCCAGCACAUACACCCAGACCUGAACCUGAUGCGCUUCUUGACCGAAGUCUCAGUUUACAGGAAACACAGGGGAAGGAGGAACACGCGACAUGACACUGCAAGGUUGCUUCAGCCGGAUCAAAACUGUGGGAAACUCUACAAACGGACAGGCACUUUCUAAUGAUGGCCAAGGGCCACGUGCAUCUGCUGAGCCCUUGAAUCACGGCUGGUGCAGACUGAGAGGUGCUUUAAGUACAAAAUACACACCAGGCUUCAAAGACUCAGCACAAGAAAAGAGAAUAAAAUAUUGGAUAACUUUUUAUACCGAUUCCAUGUUAAAAUAAUGUUUUGGAUAUACUAGUUACAUAAAAUACAUUGUUGAAAAUGA
Molecule: long non-coding RNA, 1664 nt
Organism: Suricata suricatta (meerkat)
Lineage: Eukaryota; Metazoa; Chordata; Mammalia; Carnivora; Herpestidae
Exons: 3
Source: RefSeq, a predicted model, not a curated record